CCUACGGGUGACAGCAGUGAGGAAUAUUGGUCAAUGGACGAGAGUCUGAACCAGCCAAGUAGCGUGAAGGAUGACUGCCCUAUGGGUUGUAAACUUCUUUUAUAUGGGAAUAAAAUGUUCCACGUGUGGGAUUUUGUAUGUACCAUAUGAAUAAGGAUCGGCUAACUCCGUGCCAGCAGCCGCGGUAAUACGGAGGAUCCGAGCGUUAUCCGGAUUUAUUGGGUUUAAAGGGAGCGUAGGUGGAUUGUUAAGUCAGUUGUGAAAGUUUGCGGCUCAACCGUAAAAUUGCAGUUGAAACUGGCAGUCUUGAGUACAGUAGAGGUGGGCGGAAUUCGUGGUGUAGCGGUGAAAUGCUUAGAUAUCACGAAGAACUCCGAUUGCGUAGGCAGUUCACUGGACUGCAACUGACACUGAGGCUCGAAAGUGUGGGUAUCAAACAGGAUUAGAUACCCUAGUAGUC
Molecule: ribosomal RNA, 460 nt
Filed under: uncultured bacterium
Lineage: Bacteria
Description: partial 16S ribosomal RNA
Rfam family: Bacterial small subunit ribosomal RNA
Source: RNAcentral